Molecule: transfer RNA, 65 nt
Filed under: Cicadellidae sp. EMHAU-2015-Zz052706
Lineage: Eukaryota; Metazoa; Arthropoda; Insecta; Hemiptera; Cicadellidae
Description: tRNA-Phe
Source: RNAcentral
GUUUUAGUAGCUAAAAAAUAGCAGUUCAGUGAAGUUGAGAAGUUAAAUAUAUUAUUUUUAAAACA